AUUUUACAUAAGCAUGUACACUCACCACAGCAUCAUGGUGCCAGUAACCGAAGAUGCAAUUUGAUAACACUAAGGCAAAUAAUUUAACGUUUUAAAAUUAAAGUCUAAAAGCAAAAAGGAAAUGCGUGUGCGUAAGUUACAGGCAUGGAACAAAUUGCAAAACUCAAUGCGAUAAGUUCAUACAAUUUUACAUGGUAACAUGCUAGAUCAUAACCAUUUUACUAUUAGAAAAAAGUGUUUUCGACGGUAAUUGACAACGUGUUUGUAUAUAUUUUGAAUUUUCAACAUGGCUUCUAGAUUGUAAAGUAAUAAAAUCAUACAAGCAAAACAUGGGAUUUUAACAAUAAUUAUAUUGUUAAAUCAAUAACAUUGAAGGAAGACACAAACCAACACUUAUAACAACAGUAAGCCACGAAGGUUUGUUGAGAAUUAGGUAAAAUUCUUAUUAUAAUUAUCUCCUGGGUGUUUCCUAAUCACCUCUCCAACUUUACAUGUAUCAUGAUCAUGUCCAUUUAUACCAUAAGACAAGCUUGACUACAUGCCAUAACUUUCAGUUAGAUCCUAGCCCAGGUGACCAAAGUAACCAAGGCUAAUAUCUGCAGUUGAACCAUUGCAAAAGGAACACAAUCUUACCCAAAAGUUACUAUUCAGUAGAUCCCAGGUAACCAACUUCCUUUUACAUUAGCCACCCCAUUUCCUUUUCUGGGAUGGGGUUGACAAGGCAAAAGCAAGACUUAAGAAACAGACAACUUUAAAAAGGAAAAUAUUGUGCGAACAAGCUCCUUAAAAUCUAGACUAAAUACCU
This 805-nucleotide unclassified non-coding RNA is filed under the name Hevea brasiliensis (rubber tree). Lineage: Eukaryota; Viridiplantae; Streptophyta; Magnoliopsida; Malpighiales; Euphorbiaceae. The record is from RNAcentral.